UACGGAGGGUGCAAGCGUUAUCCGGAUUCACUGGGUUUAAAGGGCGCGCAGGCGGGCUGGUAAGUCUGUGGUGAAAUACCCGUGCUUAACAUGGGAACUGCCAUUGAUACUAUUGGUCUUGAAUAUCGUUGAGGUUUGCGGAAUGGGUCAUGUAGCGGUGAAAUGCAUAGAUAUGACCCGGAACACCUAUUGCGAAGGCAGCAGGCUAAGCGAAGAUUGACGCUGAGGCUCGAAAGCGUGGGGAUCAAACAGG
RNAcentral lists this ribosomal RNA (253 nucleotides) under uncultured bacterium. Its description in RNAcentral is "partial 16S ribosomal RNA". It matches the Rfam family "Bacterial small subunit ribosomal RNA", at positions 524 to 776 of the family's 1533-position model. The record is from RNAcentral.